Long non-coding RNA from Octopus sinensis (East Asian common octopus), 785 nucleotides. RefSeq lists it as uncharacterized. The transcript has 2 exons. NCBI's taxonomy places the organism in Eukaryota, Metazoa, Mollusca, Cephalopoda, Octopoda, Octopodidae. The record is from RefSeq and is a predicted model, not a curated record.
UCUCUUACAGAAAAUGCGAAGCAGUUUGGUGACCUGGUUUUAAAUCCAACAUUGAGGUCAAUAAAUGUUCACAUGGAAGACGAUACGAAACUGAAGGCCACCCAUUUAUGUUCUUGUAUUGCGAGAGCAGAAUGCUACAGCAGCGAUUCAUGAGCUUCCAAGAUUAACACAUAUGCAUGCUUUUGGCUGAAGAAAUACAUGAAUCAUUGAAUAUUUUAAAAAUCAAGAAACCCUCAGCCGUUACUACUACUAAUAUUACUAGUACUACUAUUACGACGACAACGGUGACUACUACUACUACUACUACUACUACUACUACUACUAAUACUACUACCAUUACUACUACUAGCAUUACUACUACUGCUGCUGCUGCUGCUUCUACUAUUACUACUCCUACUGCUGCUUUACUUUUUCAUAUGCAUUUUAGCAAAACAUGAGGAGGCAAAAAUGGAACCCUUAGUCCUAAAUUCUACAAUUAAACUUUGUUGAUUCCUAAUUAUUAUUCUAUAAGGGUCUCACAGUGAGUAUAUUUAUAUUUAAUAACUUGGGCUCGUUGGUUUUAUAUAAAAGAAAAUUUAAACGGAAGAAAAACUGCAAAAAUAAAAAUAAAGAGAAACAUUUCUGUAGUAUCGGAAAUCUACAAACGAAAUUUGGAACUCCGAGCCAUAAAUGUGAUAUGAAAAGAUAAAGGAAAUAUCUAAUAAUAAUAAACGGCAGUUGACUGAAAACAAAUUGUAAUGUUAUAAAAAGCGCUUGUUUUAAAUAAAGUAUUUUGUGCCAAAUAU